UUGAUGAUCAGGUACAGAGAUUGGUCAUUCC
This 31-nucleotide non-coding RNA is filed under the name Rattus norvegicus (Norway rat). Lineage: Eukaryota; Metazoa; Chordata; Mammalia; Rodentia; Muridae. The record is from RNAcentral.